UAGGGAAUCUUCGGCAAUGGACGGAAGCCNGGACCGAGCAACCNCACGUGAGUGAAGAAGGUUUUCGGAUCGUAAAGCUCUGUUGUAAGAGAAGAACGAGUGUGAGAGUGGAAAGUUCACACUGUGACGGUAUCUUACCAGAAAGGGACGGCUAACUACGUGCCAGCAGCCGCGGUAAUACGUAGGUCCCGAGCGUUGUCCGGAUUUAUUGGGCGUAAAGCGAGCGCAGGCGGUUAGAUAAGUCUGAAGUUAAAGGCUGUGGCUUAACCAUAGUACGCUUUGGAAACUGUUUAACUUGAGUGCAAGAGGGGAGAGUGGAAUUCCAUGUGUAGCGGUGAAAUGCGUAGAUAUAUGGAGGAACACCGGUGGCGAAAGCGGCUCUCUGGCUUGUAACUGACGCUGAGGCUCGAAAGCGUGGGGAGCAAACAGGAUUAGAUACCCUGGUAGUCCACGCCGUAAACGAUGAGUGCUAGGUGUUAGACCCUUUCCGGGGUUUAGUGCCGCAGCUAACGCAUUAAGCACUCCGCCUGGGGAGUACGACCGCAAGNUUG
RNAcentral lists this ribosomal RNA (551 nucleotides) under uncultured bacterium. Its description in RNAcentral is "bacterial SSU rRNA". It matches the Rfam family "Bacterial small subunit ribosomal RNA", at positions 355 to 896 of the family's 1533-position model. The record is from RNAcentral.